CUUGAUGAACGCUAGCUACAGGCUUAACACAUGCAAGUCGAGGGGCAGCAUGGUCUUAGCUUGCUAAGGCCGAUGGCGACCGGCGCACGGGUGAGUAACACGUAUCCAACCUGCCGUCUACUCUUGGACAGCCUUCUGAAAGGAAGAUUAAUACAAGAUGGCAUCAUGAGUCCGCAUGUUCACAUGAUUAAAGGUAUUCCGGUAGACGAUGGGGAUGCGUUCCAUUAGAUAGUAGGCGGGGUAACGGCCCACCUAGUCUUCGAUGGAUAGGGGUUCUGAGAGGAAGGUCCCCCACAUUGGAACUGAGACACGGUCCAAACUCCUACGGGAGGCAGCAGUGAGGAAUAUUGGUCAAUGGGCGAGAGCCUGAACCAGCCAAGUAGCGUGAAGGAUGACUGCCCUAUGGGUUGUAAACUUCUUUUAUAAAGGAAUAAAGUCGGGUAUGCAUACCCGUUUGCAUGUACUUUAUGAAUAAGGAUCGGCUAACUCCGUGCCAGCAGCCGCGGUAAUACGGAGGAUCCGAGCGUUAUCCGGAUUUAUUGGGUUUAAAGGGAGCGUAGAUGGAUGUUUAAGUCAGUUGUGAAAGUUUGCGGCUCAACCGUAAAAUUGCAGUUGAUACUGGAUAUCUUGAGUGCAGUUGAGGCAGGCGGAAUUCGUGGUGUAGCGGUGAAAUGCUUAGAUAUCACGAAGAACUCCGAUUGCGAAGGCAGCCUGCUAAGCUGCAACUGACAUUGAGGCUCGAAAGUGUGGGUAUCAAACAGGAGUAGAUACCCUGGUAGUCCACACGGUAAACGAUGAAUACUCGCUGUUUGCGAUAUACAGCAAGCGGCCAAGCGAAAGCGUUAAGUAUUCCACCUGGGGAGUACGCCGGCAACGGUGAAACUCAAAGGAAUUGACGGGGCCCGCACAAGCGGAGGAACAUGUGGUUUAAUUCGAUGAUACGCGAGGAACCUUACCCGGGCUUAAAUUGCAGAUGAAUUACGGUGAAAGCCGUAAGCCGCAAGGCAUCUGUGAAGGUGCUGCAUGGUUGUCGUCAGCUCGUGCCGUGAGGUGUCGGCUUAAGUGCCAUAACGAGCGCAACCCUUGUUGUCAGUUACUAACAGGUCAUGCUGAGGACUCUGACAAGACUGCCAUCGUAAGAUGUGAGGAAGGUGGGGAUGACGUCAAAUCAGCACGGCCCUUACGUCCGGGGCUACACACGUGUUACAAUGGGGGGUACAGAGGGCCGCUACCACGCGAGUGGAUGCCAAUCCCCAAAACCUCUCUCAGUUCGGACUGGAGUCUGCAACCCGACUCCACGAAGCUGGAUUCGCUAGUAAUCGCGCAUCAGCCACGGCGCGGUGAAUACGUUCCCGGGCCUUGUACACACCGCCCGUCAAGCCAUGGGAGCCGGGGGUACCUGAAGUGCGUAACCGCGAGGAGCGCCCUAGGGUAAA
RNAcentral lists this ribosomal RNA (1436 nucleotides) under uncultured organism. Its description in RNAcentral is "SSU rRNA". It matches the Rfam family "Bacterial small subunit ribosomal RNA". The record is from RNAcentral.